Molecule: non-coding RNA, 210 nt
Organism: Cinara cedri
Lineage: Eukaryota; Metazoa; Arthropoda; Insecta; Hemiptera; Aphididae
Source: the annotation of a GenBank genome assembly
GUUUUUUCGUAAGCAAUGGUUGAUCAUUGCUUACAGGUAUACAUUGAAUUACCUAUAACAGAGUCUGCACCCGUCUCCGUUAUCCUAAUACGUACUUUUUCAUAAUGAAAUCACAUUAUAUUUAUUAGAAAAAAUAAGCUACUGGUGUGUGUCACAAUCAUUUGUAUAUACGGUAUUCGUCAAUUUGUGAAAUGGUAUGUUUGAUUAAUG